UAGGGAAUAUUGCGCAAUGGACGAAAGUCUGACGCAGCGACGCCGCGUGAGCGAUGAAAGCCGUAAGGUUGUAAAGCUCUGUCAAGAGGGAAGAAAGAGAUAUAUGUUAACAGCGUAUAUUUCAUGACGGUACCUUUGGAGGAAGCCCCGGCUAACUACGUGCCAGCAGCCGCGGUAAUACGUAGGGGGCGAGCGUUGUCCGGAAUCAUUGGGCGUAAAGGGCGCGUAGGCGGUUAGUUAAGUCAGGGGUGAAAUCAUCGGGCUCAACUCGAUGGCUGCCUUUGAAACUGGCUGACUGGAGUGCGGGAGAGGAAAGCGGAAUUCCUGGUGUAGUGGUGAAAUGCGUAGAUAUCAGGAAGAACACCAAUGGCGAAGGCAGCUUUCUGGACCGUAACUGACGCUAAUUCGCGAAAGCGUGGGGAGCAAACA
This 429-nucleotide ribosomal RNA is filed under the name uncultured prokaryote. RNAcentral describes it as "bacterial SSU rRNA". It matches the Rfam family "Bacterial small subunit ribosomal RNA", at positions 355 to 774 of the family's 1533-position model. The record is from RNAcentral.